This 497-nucleotide ribosomal RNA is filed under the name uncultured bacterium. Its description in RNAcentral is "partial 16S ribosomal RNA". It matches the Rfam family "Bacterial small subunit ribosomal RNA", at positions 28 to 507 of the family's 1533-position model. The record is from RNAcentral.
GAUGAACGCUGGCGGCGUGCCUAAUACAUGCAAGUCGAGCGAACAGACGAGGAUCUUGCUCCUCUGACGUUAGCGGCGGACGGGUGAGUAACACGUGGAUAACCUACCUAUAAGACUGGGAUAACUUCGGGAAACCGGAGCUAAUACCGUAUAAUAUAUUGAACCGCAUGGUUCAAUAGUGAAAGACGGCUUUGCUGUCACUUAUAGAUGGAUCGCGGCCGCAUUAGCUAGUUGGUAAGGUAACGGCUUACCAAGGCAACGAUGCGUAACCGACCUGAGAGGCGGAUAGGCCACACUGGAACUGAGACACGGUCAAGACUCCUACGGGAGGCAGCAGUAGGGAAUGUUCGGCAAUGGGCGAAAGCAUGACGGAGUAACGCCGAGUGAGUGAUGAAGGUCUUGGGAUCGUAAAAACCUGUUAUUAGGGAAGAACAAAUGUGUCAGUAACUAUGCACGUAUUGACGGUACCUAAUCAGAAAGCAACGGCUAACUACGUG